CGCGGCCUAUCAGCUUGUUGGUGAGGUAAUGGCUCACCAAGGCGACGACGGGUAGCCGGCCUGAGAGGGUGACCGGCCACACUGGGACUGAGACACGGCCCAGACUCCUACGGGAGGCAGCAGUGGGGAAUAUUGCACAAUGGGCGAAAGCCUGAUGCAGCAACGCCGCGUGAGGGACGACGGCCUUCGGGUUGUAAACCUCUUUUGGCAGGGAAGAAGCGAAAGUGACGGUACCUGCAGAAAAAGCACCGGCUAACUACGUGCCAGCAGCCGCGGUAAUACGUAGGGUGCAAGCGUUGUCCGGAAUUAUUGGGCGUAAAGAGCUCGUAGGCGGUUUGUCGCGUCUGCUGUGAAAACGCGAGGCUCAACCUCGCGCCUGCAGUGGGUACGGGCAGACUAGAGUGUGGUAGGGGAGAUUGGAAUUCCUGGUGUAGCGGUGGAAUGCGCAGAUAUCAGGAGGAACACCGAUGGCGAAGGCAGAUCUCUGGGCCAUUACUGACGCUGAGGAGCGAAAGCGUGGGGAGCGAACAGGAUUAGAUACCCUGGUAGUCCACGCCGUAAACGUUGGGAACUAGAUGUGGGGUCCAUUCCACGGAUUCCGUGUCGCAGCUAACGCAUUAAGUCCCCGCC
This 630-nucleotide ribosomal RNA is filed under the name uncultured bacterium. RNAcentral describes it as "bacterial SSU rRNA". It matches the Rfam family "Bacterial small subunit ribosomal RNA", at positions 232 to 873 of the family's 1533-position model. The record is from RNAcentral.